CGAGUUGGCCGAACAGUCGCCGUUUUACCUUGCGUAAAAGGGAGGAAAGUCCGGGCUCCACAGGGCAGGGUGCCAGGUAAUGCCUGGGAGGCGCGAGCCUACGGAAAGUGCCACAGAAAAUAUACCGCCAGGUU
Molecule: RNase P RNA, 134 nt
Filed under: Methylomonas sp.
Lineage: Bacteria; Pseudomonadati; Pseudomonadota; Gammaproteobacteria; Methylococcales; Methylococcaceae
Description: Bacterial RNase P class A
Rfam family: Bacterial RNase P class A
About the family: Ribonuclease P (RNase P) is a ubiquitous endoribonuclease, found in archaea, bacteria and eukarya as well as chloroplasts and mitochondria. Its best characterised activity is the generation of mature 5'-ends of tRNAs by cleaving the 5'-leader elements of precursor-tRNAs.
Source: Rfam by way of RNAcentral